GUGACUGCGUACCUUUUGUAUAAUGGGUCAGCGACUUAUAUUCUGUAGCAAGGUUAACCGAAUAGGGGAGCCGGAGGGAAACCGAGUCUUAAUUGGGCGUUAAGUUGCAGGGUAUAGACCCGAAACCCGGUGAUCUAGCCAUGGGCAGGUUGAAGGUUGGGUAACACUAACUGGAGGACCGAACCGACUAAUGUUGAAAAAUUAGCGGAUGACCUGUGGCUGGGGGUGAAAGGCCAAUCAAACCGGGAGAUAGCUGGUUCUCCCCGAAAGCUAUUUAGGUAGCGCCUCGUGAAUUCAUCUCCGGGGGUAGAGCACUGUUUCGGCUAGGGGGCCAUCCCGGCUUACCAACCCGAUGCAAACUGCGAAUACCGGAGAAUGUUAUCACGGGAGACACACGGCGGGUGCUAACGUCCGUCGUGAAGAGGGAAACAACCCAGACCGCCAGCUAAGGUCCCAAAGUCAUGGUUAAGUGGGAAACGAUGUGGGAAGGCCCAGACAGCCAGGAUGUUGGCUUAGAAGCAGCCAUCAUUUAAAGAAAGCGUAAUAGCUCACUGGUCGAGUCGGCCUGCGCGGAAGAUGUAACGGGGCUAAACCAUGCACCGAAGCUGCGGCAGCGAACGUAUCACCCAAGACAACUUUACGGAGUUGACGAUUGACGGAGCGAAGCGACGUCAAAGCGUUCAUUAAAGUCGAGUUGGCUUAGGGAUACGUUCGUUGGGUAGGGGAGCGUUCUGUAAGCCUGUGAAGGUGUGUCGUGAGGCAUGCUGGAGGUAUCAGAAGUGCGAAUGCUGACAUAAGUAACGAUAAAGCGGGUGAAAAGCCCGCUCGCCGGAAGACCAAGGGUUCCUGUCCAACGUUAAUCGGGGCAGGGUGAGUCGACCCCUAAGGCGAGGCCGAAAGGCGUAGUCGAUGGGAAACGGGUUAAUAUUCCCGUACUUGGUGUUACUGCGAAGGGGGGACGGAGAAGGCUAUGUUGGCCGGGCGACGGUUGUCCCGGUUUAAGCGUGUAGGUGUGUGUUCCAGGUAAAUCCGGUUCACUUUAACACUGAGGCGUGACGACGAGGCACUACGGUGCUGAAGCAACAAAUGCCCUGCUUCCAGGAAAAGCCUCUAAGCAUCAGGUAACAUCAAAUCGUACCCCAAACCGACACAGGUGGUCAGGUAGAGAAUACCAAGGCGCUUGAGAGAACUCGGGUGAAGGAACUAGGCAAAAUGGUGCCGUAACUUCGGGAGAAGGCACGCUGACACGUAGGUGAAGUGAUUUACUCAUGGAGCUGAAGUCAGUCGAAGAUACCAGCUGGCUGCAACUGUUUAUUAAAAACACAGCACUGUGCAAACACGAAAGUGGACGUAUACGGUGUGACGCCUGCCCGGUGCCGGAAGGUUAAUUGAUGGGGUCAGCGCAAGCGAAGCUCCUGAUCGAAGCCCCGGUAAACGGCGGCCGUAACUAUAACGGUCCUAAGGUAGCGAAAUUCCUUGUCGGGUAAGUUCCGACCUGCACGAAUGGCGUAAUGAUGGCCAGGCUGUCUCCACCCGAGACUCAGUGAAAUUGAACUCGCUGUGAAGAUGCAGUGUACCCGCGGCAAGACGGAAAGACCCCGUGAACCUUUACUAUAGCUUGACACUGAACAUUGAGCCUUGAUGUGUAGGAUAGGUGGGAGGCUUUGAAGUGUGGACGCCAGUCUGCAUGGAGCCGACCUUGAAAUACCACCCUUUAAUGUUUGAUGUUCUAACGUGGACCCGUAAUCCGGGUUGCGGACAGUGUCUGGUGGGUAGUUUGACUGGGGCGGUCUCCUCCUAAAGAGUAACGGAGGAGCACGAAGGUUGGCUAAUCCUGGUCGGACAUCAGGAGGUUAGUGCAAUGGCAUAAGCCAGCUUGACUGCGAGCGUGACGGCGCGAGCAGGUGCGAAAGCAGGUCAUAGUGAUCCGGUGGUUCUGAAUGGAAGGGCCAUCGCUCAACGGAUAAAAGGUACUCCGGGGAUAACAGGCUGAUACCGCCCAAGAGUUCAUAUCGACGGCGGUGUUUGGCACCUCGAUGUCGGCUCAUCACAUCCUGGGGCUGAAGUAGGUCCCAAGGGUAUGGCUGUUCGCCAUUUAAAGUGGUACGCGAGCUGGGUUUAGAACGUCGUGAGACAGUUCGGUCCCUAUCUGCCGUGGGCGCUGGAGAACUGAGGGGGGCUGCUCCUAGUACGAGAGGACCGGAGUGGACGCAUCACUGGUGUUCGGGUUGUCAUGCCAAUGGCACUGCCCGGUAGCUAAAUGCGGAAGAGAUAAGUGCUGAAAGCAUCUAAGCACGAAACUUGCCCCGAGAUGAGUUCUCCCUGAGACUUAGAGUCUCCUGAAGGAACGUUGAAGACGACGACGUUGAUAGGCCGGGUGUGUAAGCGCAGCGAUGCGUUGAGCUAACCGGUACUAAUGAACCGUGAGGCUUAACCUU
This 2438-nucleotide ribosomal RNA is filed under the name Salmonella enterica subsp. enterica serovar Typhimurium str. DT104. Its description in RNAcentral is "bacterial LSU rRNA". It matches the Rfam family "Bacterial large subunit ribosomal RNA", at positions 593 to 2925 of the family's 2925-position model. The record is from RNAcentral. Lineage: Bacteria; Pseudomonadati; Pseudomonadota; Gammaproteobacteria; Enterobacterales; Enterobacteriaceae.